AUUUCCUCAGUAACGGCGAGUGAAGCGGUAACAGCUCAAAUUUGAAAUCUGGCCUCACGGUCCGAGUUGUAAUUUGUAGAGGAUGCUUCGAGCAUGGUCUGGCCUAAGUUCCUUGGAACAGGACGUCAUAGAGGGUGAGAAUCCCGUAUGCGGCCAGGUGCCUACGCUCAUGUGAAGCUCCUUCGACGAGUCGAGUUGUUUGGGAAUGCAGCUCAAAAUGGGUGGUAAAUUUCAUCUAAAGCUAAAUAUUGGCCAGAGACCGAUAGCGCACAAGUAGAGUGAUCGAAAGAUGAAAAGCACUUUGGAAAGAGAGUUAAACAGUACGUGAAAUUGUUGAAAGGGAAGCGCUUGCAACCAGACUUGCGCGCGGCCGAUCAUCCGGUGUUCUCACCGGUGCACUCGGCCGUGCUCAGGCCAGCAUCGGUUUUGGCGGCUGGAUAAAGGCCCUAGGAAUGUGGCUCCUCUCGGGGAGUGUUAUAGCCUAGGGUGCAAUGCAGCCUGCUGGGACCGAGGACCGCGCUUCGGCUAGGAUGCUGGCGUAAUGGUUGUAAGCGGCCCGUCUUGAAACACGGACCAAGGAGUCUAACAUCUAUGCGAGUGUUUGGGUGUCAAACCCAUACGCGUAAUGAAAGUGAACGGAGGUGAGAACCCUUAAGGGUGCAUCAUCGACCGAUCCUGAUGUCUUC
This 686-nucleotide ribosomal RNA is filed under the name uncultured fungus. Its description in RNAcentral is "LSU rRNA". It matches the Rfam family "Eukaryotic large subunit ribosomal RNA", at positions 74 to 781 of the family's 3401-position model. Lineage: Eukaryota; Fungi. The record is from RNAcentral.